RNAcentral lists this ribosomal RNA (203 nucleotides) under uncultured Thauera sp. Its description in RNAcentral is "partial 16S ribosomal RNA". It matches the Rfam family "Bacterial small subunit ribosomal RNA", at positions 1180 to 1382 of the family's 1533-position model. Lineage: Bacteria; Pseudomonadati; Pseudomonadota; Betaproteobacteria; Rhodocyclales; Zoogloeaceae. The record is from RNAcentral.
UGACGUCAAGUCCUCAUGGCCCUUAUGGUAGGGCUUCACACGUCAUACAAUGGUCGGUACAGAGGGUUGCCAAGCCGCGAGGUGGAGCCAAUCCCUUAAAGCCGAUCGUAGUCCGGAUCGUAGUCUGCAACUCCGACUACGUGAAGUCGGAAUCGCUAGUAAUCGCAGAUCAGCAUGCUGCGGUGAAUACGUUCCCGGGUCUU